GCCUUUAACUGGAUGAGCACUUGUGUUGUGGCAUAGCUGGUUAGCACAGCUCUCUAGUCUGAGUUUUGCAUGCGCAGUGUCCCUUCCAGAUCCAGAAAACACCUGUGCAAGUUCUUCACAUCUGGACAAGACUCUCCAGAAACACAUUGACAGAGUCUGUAUAUGCAAAUCAUCUGGGGAGCCCUGGCCAAGAUCUCAGUUAUGGAAACAUUUUAAACAACUCCACCCAUCCUAUUAAUUCAAACAUUUAUAGAGACAUCUGAUUUUGAAUGGGAAAGAUGAAGAGAAGAUUGGAGAGCUCAGGUGAUGGUGUGAAGCAGGAAUCAAUCAGGCUUCGUUCUCUAUUGAGCCCAUAUCAUGCACUGGCCAGGGAUGGGAAUUGGUCAGAAAGGAGGCUGACCCAAAUCCAACAGCAGCAGUUGAAAAAUUUCUGGAGGCUUUAUCAAAUGGCCUCUACAGAGUCCAGCUUAAAAUUAAAAGCUCUGCUAGCAGAGGAAAUAUAUGUGACUUUAAUAACUGAAAUGUGUUUUUACUUUCUAUUACAGAGGUCAAAAGGGUUCCAAACAAACCAAAUUUAUCAAUUAUUUAGAGCUGAUUUCUUCUGAAGUGGUAUUUCUGAGAUAUUAUUUGGUGGGUAAAUUCAAUGUUCUAGGCCCACCAGCAGCAUUUUAUUCAUAACAAAUUUCCACUAAACUGAAUUUGCUGGGGCAACUUAAUUUCCACUAUCGUGUUUGUACUGUGAAAAUAUCAACUGAACUGUUACUAUGCCUAACUAGUGGGUUUUUCAAAGAGGAAAAUUUUGGCUUUGCGAGCUUGUUCAGCGUCCCUG
This 829-nucleotide long non-coding RNA is filed under the name Fukomys damarensis (Damara mole-rat). Its description in RNAcentral is "lncRNA (ENSFDAG00000025223.1)". The record is from RNAcentral. Lineage: Eukaryota; Metazoa; Chordata; Mammalia; Rodentia; Bathyergidae.